GGGUGAGUAACGCGUGAACNAUCUGCCUCAAAGUGGGGGAUAACCNUUCCAACGGAUGGCUAAUACCGCNNAGGGUUCGGGGACGGCNUCGUUCCCUUACGAAAGCAUUUAUGCGCUUUGAGAUGAGUUCGCGUCCCAUUANCUNGUUGGCGGGGUAACGGCCCACCAAGGCAACGAUGGGUAGCCGGCCUGAGAGGGUGUCCGGCCACAUUGGGACUGANAUACGGCCCAGACUCCUACGGGAGGCAGCANUAGGGAAUUUUGCGCAAUGGGGGAAACCCUGACGCAGCAACGCCNUGUGUGGGAUGAAGCAUUUCGGUGUGUAAACCACUGUCGGCAGGGAAUAAAGCCCACAUUUAUGUGGGGGUGAAUGUACCUGCANAGGAAGCCCCGGCUAACUUCAUGCCANCAGCCGCGGUAAUACGAGGGGGGCAAGUGUUGUUCGGAAUCACUGGGCGUAAAGGGANCGUANGCGGAUGCUUAAGUUGGAUGUUUAAAACCGGGGCCCAACCCCGGGGCGGCNUCCNAAACUGG
This 534-nucleotide ribosomal RNA is filed under the name uncultured bacterium. RNAcentral's name for it is "partial 16S ribosomal RNA". It matches the Rfam family "Bacterial small subunit ribosomal RNA", at positions 104 to 636 of the family's 1533-position model. The record is from RNAcentral.